GACGAACGCUGGCGGCGUGCUUAACACAUGCAAGUCGAACGGAAAGGCCCUGCUUUUGUGGGGUGCUCGAGUGGCGAACGGGUGAGUAACACGUGAGUAACCUGCCCUUGACUUUGGGAUAACUUCAGGAAACUGGGGCUAAUACCGGAUAGGAGCUCCUGCUGCAUGGUGGGGGUUGGAACGUUUCGGCGGUUGGGGAUGGACUGGCGGCUAAUCAGCUUGUUGGUGGGGUAGUGGCUUACCAAGGCAUUGACGGGUAGCCGGCCUGAGAGGGUGACCGGGGUCAAGAGGACUGAGAGAGGGCCCAGACGCCUACAGGGGGCAGCGGGGGGGAAUAUGACACAAUGAGCGGGAGCCUGAGGAGGCAACGCCGCGUUCGUAAAGACGUCCUUCUGGGUAUGAACCGCAUUCGGCUAUGACGAAGCGGGAGUGACGGUAAUGAGUAAAGAAGCACCGGCUAACUACGUG
RNAcentral lists this ribosomal RNA (468 nucleotides) under uncultured bacterium. RNAcentral describes it as "partial 16S ribosomal RNA". It matches the Rfam family "Bacterial small subunit ribosomal RNA", at positions 28 to 507 of the family's 1533-position model. The record is from RNAcentral.